CCUGCUUCUGGGUCGGGGUUUCGUACG
Molecule: non-coding RNA, 27 nt
Filed under: Macaca fascicularis (crab-eating macaque)
Lineage: Eukaryota; Metazoa; Chordata; Mammalia; Primates; Cercopithecidae
Also listed under: 3 other names
Source: RNAcentral